AGGGCUUUAGCUUAAUGAAAGCACCUGAGUUGCAUUCAGGAGAUGUGAGAUAAAGUCUUGCAAGUCUUA
This 69-nucleotide transfer RNA is filed under the name Hypanus americanus (southern stingray). RNAcentral describes it as "tRNA-Ala". It matches the Rfam family "tRNA". From Rfam's summary of the family: Transfer RNA (tRNA) molecules are approximately 80 nucleotides in length. Their secondary structure includes four short double-helical elements and three loops (D, anti-codon, and T loops). The record is from RNAcentral. Lineage: Eukaryota; Metazoa; Chordata; Chondrichthyes; Myliobatiformes; Dasyatidae.